AAGCCAAUGAGGAUUUAUAUAAAUAUUUGGAAUUACCGUCUGAACAUUAUUGAUGUCUGAUCGACUAUCUGAGGCUUCAA
Molecule: small nucleolar RNA, 80 nt
Organism: Capsicum annuum
Lineage: Eukaryota; Viridiplantae; Streptophyta; Magnoliopsida; Solanales; Solanaceae
Source: RefSeq, a predicted model, not a curated record